GCUUUUAAUAGUAGAAGCUUCAAAGACUCAGGAAGGGCCAGGCAGCCAUCUGAGCCCUCUGGGAGGUACCUCAGCUUAGCCCUUGCACAGUCCCAAUAUGCACAGGCUCCCUGCUGCCCAAGGAUCUGCUUUCCACACAGCCAGGAGUGCCUUUCCCUACCACAGGCUCCCUGCAGCCCAAGGAUGUGCCUGAGACACAGCCGGGAGUGCCUCGCCCUCAAACAGGCUCGCUGCAGCCCAAACAUCUGCCUGAGACACAGCCAACACAGCAGGGAGUGCCUUGCCCGCAAACAGGCUCCCUGCAGCCCAAGGAUCUGCCUGAGACACAGCCCGGAGUACUUUUCCCAAGCACAGACUCUGUGCAACCCAAAGAGCUGCCUUCAACCCAGCCGGGAGUGCCUCCCCCUCACCUGCUCCUCCAGGUGCCGCCUCCCCCCAGCUAGGUGCUUGAGGCCUCCCUCCAGGAUGCUGCCGCUGCUGUCCCCACUGCUCAGGCACACGGCAGAACCCCCUUUGUCACUCCCCCCCUCAGAGCCCAACUUCUAAGGCACCAAACACCCAAGAUUAACAGGCUUUUGUUGCUGAACUGGACAUAUACAUUGAGUCUUUUCUUGCGGUCAAAGGAGUUGAAUUCUUGCUGAUCAACUAAAGUUGAUUGUGUUUGACACCAGGGAGCUUGUCUUUUGAG
This 688-nucleotide long non-coding RNA is filed under the name Homo sapiens (human). RNAcentral describes it as "long non-coding RNA NONHSAT013200.2". Lineage: Eukaryota; Metazoa; Chordata; Mammalia; Primates; Hominidae. The record is from RNAcentral.